GGAAGUGCCAUAGUUCAGUGGCAGAACAUCUGCUUUGCCCAUAGAAGGUCCCAGUUUUGAUCACUGGCACCUCAA
Non-coding RNA from Podarcis lilfordi (Lilford's wall lizard), 75 nucleotides. NCBI's taxonomy places the organism in Eukaryota, Metazoa, Chordata, Lepidosauria, Squamata, Lacertidae. The record is from the annotation of a GenBank genome assembly.